ACCAGGUGUGUGUUCUCCCCAGGUCCAGGGUCUGGUGUGUGUGUAGUAACCAGGUGUGUGUAGUAACCAGGUGUGUGUAGUAACCAGGUGGUAACCAGGUGUGUGUUCUCCCCAGGUCCAGGGUCUGGUGUGUGUGUGUAGUAACCAGGUGGUAACCAGGUGUGUGUUCUCCCCAGGUCCAGGGUCUGGUGUGUGUAGUAACCAGGUGUGUGUUCUCCCCAGGUCCAGGGUCUGGUGUGUGUGGUAACCAGGUGUGUGUAGUAACCAGGUGGUAACCAGGUGUGUGUUCUCCCCAGGUCCAGGGUCUGGUGUGUGUGUGUGUGUAGUAACCAGGUGUGUGUAGUAACCAGGUGUGUGUUCUCCCCAGGUCCAGGGUCUGGUGUGUGUGUAGUAACCAGGUCCAGGGUCUGCUCCAGCAGGAAGUGCAUAGUGCCAUGAAACAGUCUGAAUCCAAGAUGGAGUCGCUACUAGAGAGAGUUCAGCUACUGGAAUGUGAACCUAAAUAUGAUCUGGUCAUACGCAGACUGGAGGCUCACAUUAAGAAGGUGAAGAGGAGGGGGAAUAACCCUGUGUUUCUCUAGUUAGAGGGGGAAUAACCCUGUGUU
This is a long non-coding RNA of Oncorhynchus keta (chum salmon), 605 nucleotides long. RefSeq lists it as uncharacterized. Lineage: Eukaryota; Metazoa; Chordata; Actinopteri; Salmoniformes; Salmonidae. The transcript has 5 exons. The record is from RefSeq and is a predicted model, not a curated record.